This 1506-nucleotide long non-coding RNA is filed under the name Equus caballus (horse). RNAcentral describes it as "lncRNA (ENSECAG00000051528.1)". The record is from RNAcentral. Lineage: Eukaryota; Metazoa; Chordata; Mammalia; Perissodactyla; Equidae.
AAAGAAAUCAGAGGACACCACUUCAACAAUUAUCCAAAAAUAGGACAGAGACACCUAUCUGCCUGCACUUAGACGUGUUAGGUCACUCAGCUUGGCUGCAUGGCUGGAGAAGUCAUUUUGCCAUUAUAGGAAAAGGUAGGGGUGGAGAAUGAUGAGAGAAAGGAAGAGAGAUGACUCAGAGCGGGAAACGGCACGUAACCAAGGGAAAUUAUUUCUCCCAGACGUAAAUGGAUCAGGAAGAGAUGGGAGCAACAGGUCAUCUUUGGAGCAUUCUUUUCUUUCCCUGCCUCUGAGUAACUUGUCAUCAAGCACCUGCCAGUAACAAAAGGGGAGAGAAGGGCAGUAAGCAGGACCUGCUUCUCUAGCUGAAUGGCACACCAGUUCCAGCCAACUGCUGGCUCAGCUAACUGGGACAGUGAAACAAGGAACCAUUUGGAAAGUUGCAGGGAUAAACACACCAUUUCCCAGUGAGACAACUGCUACUUCUUGGCUCAUGAGAAAAACCUGCCCCAACUAGCUUGCUGGUCUAAGGAGGAUGAGAGACCCAUGGAACAGAGCCAGAUUUGCAGUGAGAAGCAGAGCUGCCCCAGCCACCCCAGCCCAGAUCAGCUGAGCCCUCGCCACUCACCUCCUAGAUCAAUGCCCAUGGAGACUUCCCCUACCCAACCCUCCAACCCCUCAUCGCAUGCCUAGGGAAGGAUUAUUGCAGCAGAAAAGCAGAGAUAAGAAGAGACAAGGUUUUCUUGAUUCCAAAAGCCUUGGUCCUGGGGGAAUUCAGGGCAUUAAAAAAUUGUUGGGUGCUAUAAGGGCAGAGCUUCCUGCUCAAGGAAGAGGAAAUUGGGAAAAGGAGCAAAGUAAUUUUUGAUACAUGUGUGUCACUCUCACAGGCCCAGAUCAAUUAGGAGGAUCUAAGAGUAAAGAUACUUGUGCCUCCCGUUUCUGGGUAGUGCCCAUGAAGGUAGCAACUCCCUGGAGUUUCUCUGCAUUGUGGCUGGGCAUUAUUCUGCGCUCUACACCACACUCACCAUGACAGGAUCCAUGACCCUGCAUCCCGCCUGCCCACUCAGCUUCAUUAGACUUGCACAGAGCCCCAAGAAAGGACAGAAGUGGUAAAAAGUAUUUCUAGCCCUAAGGGUCAUACUGAAUGAGCUUGAAGGACAGUGUAACAGUUUCCUGAAUGGAUCAACGACCAGGGACAGACAGGGUGAUGUCCUUACCAGCAGAUCCAAGACAUACAGCUAAGGAAGAGACUUUUCUCUACAGACCCACCCACCCAAGGAAUUGCCAUUCCUUGGCAAUUCAUAAGCCCCUGGAAGUUAGAUGCAAGCCAAAGAAAAUGGAAGAAACUAGGAAUUGACUGACAUAAAGGUUCUGCCACCUGAAGGAAUGGGGAUUGGUAAAAGAAAUUAAGUUCAGUUAGAAAAAAAGAAAAAGUUACUUCUCACAAGAGACUUCAAUAGUACUUAUGAUGUUUUCCGCUUUAAUAAAUCUGAAGCAAAUAAGGCA